GGUCCGGGCCGCCCCCGGACCCCUUCUCUCUCUUUCUUCAUUUUUUUGUGGUAUUUUGUGUGUAAAUUCCGACUCCAACUGGAACAAAGUUUUUUUCUCCGAGUUUUUCUCACGUGCAUGUGUGGUUGCGGGUAGUUUUUGACUCGGUCGAGGUUUUGCGCUGCAGAAUCCUGGUUUUUUGAUGAUCAAUAUGAGCUCCUCCAAAACGUGGGUGUUAGAUUGUUGCAGUUCUAGUCCGAUAGAACUUUGGUGGGUUUUUCAUUGUGUCUAGAAUAUGGUCUUUUGGUGGUGGCGGCUGUGUUAAAGUCAUUCCAUCGGGAUUAUUGGCUAUACGGAGGUGCAGUCCAGUUUUCUUGUGUUCUUCGUCCCGUUGAGGUGCUAUGGAGCAAUAUCUUUUUGUUCUGUGAUCAGCGAAGACGCCAGUGAUUUGGCUGCGGCAAUUUUUUCUUGCAUCGUGGAGUUCUUGGGUUGCUCUCACGUGGCGUUUCUGGCGUCUCCGACUUCUUAGGCGGCGUUGUCGAUGGACUCUCUAUGUGGCGGCGUUGGAAAGGCCAAAUUUGAGUUCUGUAACUUGGCUAUCGGGAAUCAAAACUGAUCGAUCUAGCGACAACGGCAGUAGAGCGGAGUCGGGGAAGGCAGAAGUCAGAUUCAUGGUUGUUGUUUAAGGUGCCUCUGCAAAGAAGCUUGGUGUAUUCAUGAAGUGGGGAUCCAAUUGGACCAACUUGUAGUCUUCUGAGCAGUAGCGCUAAUCUUUGAUAGCUUAUUGUUAGAUGUGGAAGUGCAAUAGAGAUGCUGAUUCAAACGCCAAACUCUUAUGCAAUUGUUUAGACUUGAGCUGCGCGUUUUGGUAAUUGACGCUCGUAGUUGGAGUUUGUUGAGUUGGAUAUCUCGUAUAGUAGUUGAUCUAGUAGGGUUGCGGUGGUGGUCACCAAGAACCUCAUGUUGUGAAGCAAAGAUCACUCAAAUUGUUCUUUUUUAAGAGGUAAAUUGGUUAGAAUUGCGUCCUUGAGGAUACGCUACAUUGAUUCGUGAAGAAGAAUCUGCGGAUUACUAGUUGUGCCAAUAAUUCAUUGCAAUUUGUUUUUAAUCUUAGAUAGGUGGAAAAGAAGGAAUGUAAAGUAGUUAUUGACUUGGAAUCCUACUUGGUGUACUGGAGUAAGUUAUCACAUUGCAUUAAGAUAUUUUUCAGUC
Physcomitrium patens is the source of this 1191-nucleotide long non-coding RNA. RefSeq lists it as uncharacterized. Lineage: Eukaryota; Viridiplantae; Streptophyta; Bryopsida; Funariales; Funariaceae. The record is from RefSeq and is a predicted model, not a curated record.